RNAcentral lists this long non-coding RNA (470 nucleotides) under Sinocyclocheilus grahami. Its description in RNAcentral is "lncRNA (ENSSGRG00000010672.1)". The record is from RNAcentral. Lineage: Eukaryota; Metazoa; Chordata; Actinopteri; Cypriniformes; Cyprinidae.
AUGUUGGCUUGCUUCCGGAAACAAAGCUGCACUACUUCUGUGUCCCCAGGACAGCUGGUGCUGCCUCAGUUUCUGAAAGCUGUACCUGUCUACAUUAACAGUCUGCGCAAAAGUGAAGUGCUGCUGCCUGGGCUGCGGAGCUCUGUGCAUCAGCGUCUACAACUGCGUAGCCUCAUUGUCUCCAUGGACACGCUGAGCACUGCUUCUCAGUUCUACCCACUUAUUCUGCCUCUGGUGAGAGACAGACAUCUAGAACAUUCUGUUCAUCCAAAUUAGUCACUGAAAUGAGACAGUUUCCUUCUCUGUAAGAAUUCAUAAUUCUCAGUUGGAUUGUUAUGGCAGAAUUUAGAGAUGCCACAUUCUUCACUACUCUAGCAAUAAAUGCAUCUACUGUACUCUCACUCUCUAUUUAUAGCAUUUUAUUUUUUUACUUAUUAUGUCAAGAUUUCUGGCACCAAAGACACAGGCAC